CCCGGCGACCGCCUCACGGGAGUAAAGUUGCGAGAAGGUGCUCUCGCGGUGCGCGGUGACAAUUUAUCGAAUCUUAUGGCACAGCCACACAAGUGCGUGUGUCCGGAGUCGGACUGUAUUCCAUACUGGAACGUGCCAAUGCUCGUAUACUGCCAGUACCAUAUUACGGCAGCAAUACCAGAGUGGCUUCCGAGCAUCUCGGCCGCAACUCACAGGGACAGCAGGCCCUCGUGCAACGGCGGCAGGCGGCGCAGGCCCGCGCC
Long non-coding RNA from Hyposmocoma kahamanoa, 263 nucleotides. RefSeq lists it as uncharacterized. Lineage: Eukaryota; Metazoa; Arthropoda; Insecta; Lepidoptera; Cosmopterigidae. The record is from RefSeq and is a predicted model, not a curated record. The transcript has 3 exons.